RNAcentral lists this ribosomal RNA (442 nucleotides) under uncultured bacterium. RNAcentral's name for it is "partial 16S ribosomal RNA". It matches the Rfam family "Bacterial small subunit ribosomal RNA", at positions 338 to 795 of the family's 1533-position model. The record is from RNAcentral.
CCUACGGGAGGCUGCAGUGGGGAAUAUUGGGCAAUGGGCGCAAGCCUGACCCAGCAACGCCGCGUGAAGGAAGAAGGCUUUCGGGUUGUAAACUUCUUUUGACAGGGAAGAGUAGAAGACGGUACCUGUCGAAUAAGCCACGGCUAACUACGUGCCAGCAGCCGCGGUAAUACGUAGGUGGCACGCGUUGUCCGGAUUUACUGGGUGUAAAGGGCGUGUAGCCGGGUUGACAAGUCAGAUGUGAAAUCCUGCGGCUUAACCGCAGAACUGCAGUUGAAACUGUUGAUCUUGAGUACUGGAGAGGCAGACGGAAUUCCUAGUGUAGCGGUGAAAUGCGUAGAUAUUAGGAAGAACACCAGUGGCGAAGGCAGUCUGCUGGACAGCAACUGACGGUGAGGCGCGAAAGCGUGGGGAGCAAACAGGAUUAGAUACCCCGGUAGUC